ACAAUGGGGGGUACAGAAGGCAGCUACCGGGCGACCGGAUGCCAAUCCCAAAAACCUCUCUCAGUUCGGAUCGAAGUCUGCAACCCGACUUCGUGAAGCUGGAUUCGCUAGUAAUCGCGCAUCAGCCAUGGCGCGGUGAAUACGUUCCCGGGCCUUGUACACACCGCCCGUCAAGCCAUGAAAGCCGGGGGUACCUGAAGUACGUAACCGCAAGGAGCGUCCUAGGGUAAAACUGGUAAUUGGGGCUAAGUCGUAACAAGGUAAC
This 265-nucleotide ribosomal RNA is filed under the name uncultured bacterium. RNAcentral's name for it is "partial 16S ribosomal RNA". It matches the Rfam family "Bacterial small subunit ribosomal RNA", at positions 1227 to 1500 of the family's 1533-position model. The record is from RNAcentral.